GAUUAACGCUGGCGGCGUGCAUAACACAUGCAAGUCGAACGAUGAAACUUAAAUGAUUUCUUCGGAAUGAACUUAAGUGGAUUAGUGGCGGACGGGUGAGUAACGCGUGAGUAACCUGCCUUACACAAGGGGAUAGCCGUUGGAAACGACGAAUAAUACCCUAUGAAACUAUCACUUCGCAUGAAGCGAUAGUCAAAGUGUUAGCGGUGUAAGAUGGACUUGCGUCUGAUUAGCUAGUUGAUGAGAAAAAAGCCCACCAAGGCAACGAUCAGUAGCCGGCUUGAGAGAGUGUACGGCCACAUUGGGACUGAGACACGGCCCAGACUCCUACGGGAGGCAGCAGUGGGGAAUUUUGCACAAUGGGGGAAACCCUGAUGCAGCGACGCCGCGUGAUUUAGAAGGCCUUCGGGUUGUAAAAAUCUUUUGUAUAGGAAGAAAAUGACAGUACUAUACGAAUAAGGUCCGGCUAAUUACGUG
RNAcentral lists this ribosomal RNA (477 nucleotides) under uncultured bacterium. Its description in RNAcentral is "partial 16S ribosomal RNA". It matches the Rfam family "Bacterial small subunit ribosomal RNA", at positions 28 to 507 of the family's 1533-position model. The record is from RNAcentral.